This is a non-coding RNA of Chrysemys picta bellii (western painted turtle), 4750 nucleotides long. NCBI's taxonomy places the organism in Eukaryota, Metazoa, Chordata, Testudines, Emydidae. The record is from RefSeq and is a predicted model, not a curated record.
UACAAAUAGGAUGAUCACACUCAGUAGAUUAUAAGCUUUGUAAUGAUACCUUACAAGAGACCUUUUGCAUGAAGCAUAUCCCAGUUACGUUAUAUUCAAUUAUCAUAUUUUUAUAAAACCAUAGACAGCUCAACGUCACAAACAGUACUUGGACUAUGCCUGUAUCAGACAUUGUUUUGCUAUAUGCCUGCAAUUAGCUACGACUAUCUUGCUUUUGUGUUCAAUCUAGUUUAGUAAUACAUGGGUGUAGACCAGUGCUUCUCAAGCUAUCUAAUGUGGGGGACUGGCAAUUUUUUUCCCCCCAAUGUGCCAGGGACCAGUGCCACAUUAUUAUCCUAUUCGACGCUCUUAUGACGAAACUCGCCGUGGACGGGCAGCCGAUGGCUCGCGGAACGGCACCGGUCCACGGACCGCCACUUUGAGAUGCUCUGGUGUAGACAGGUAGGGGACUUGGGGAUUCCAUUAAUAAACAAACACUGAGCGCAGAAAAGAAGCUAGUUAUCUCACUGGAAAUCUAUCCACUUUUAUAGUUAUGGUACAAAACUACUGAUUAAAGUGAUAUUCAAUACCUUUUUUUAAACACUCCAGCGCACCCCCUGCCCAAAUAAAAAGUUAAUCUAUACCCCUGUAAUAUCAAACAAGGACAAUGAAGUUUGCUGUUCAGCAGCUCUACUUCCCUCUUCCCCCACCUCAAUCAACAGAUUCCAUUCCUGUCUUCCAAACAGUGUGUCCCAUCAAUCACUGAUGACUGUCAAUUGGGGUGGCAGAGAAUGGGAAGCCUGCUACAUGCAGUAUGUAUAAAGAAGAAAGCCGCCUGUGUGGAAUGCAAACAUGUCUCACUGGGGCUCAUCAGAUCCUGACAUGCUGGAUUUCACAUUAUAGGCACUCAGAGGGAUGCAUCAACCCAGUCCAAUAAAACUCACCUUUUUUGCUGCAGCCCAUAUGCUCUCAAAGAAUACUCUAAUUUCUUCAGAUUCUCUCUUAGAUGGCUGCUUGAGGCCACUUAGAACUCUAUGCACAAAAUUGACUUCCCUAGUUUGUACGGUGGCUAGCUGGGUUCACACUGAGCAAAACUGAAGUCAAUAAGAAAAACUCCAAAUGAUUUCAAUGAGACCAUGACUUGGUGGAGUUGCUUUGUCUUGAAAGGUUAUCCCUGUAUUGGGAUACUGUACUACUAAAAGGAGCGCCUCUAUUCUUUUGUUGGAUGUGGUGUCUCUCUCCCAGGUGUCCCAAAAAUUAACAUUACCAUAAUGAAAUUCCUAAGCAAAGAAAAAUCACUUCCAGAUAAGCUCUUAUAGACAUAUUUGUGUGUUGCUUAUACUCAGGCUAUGCCAUCCAACUAGCCUGACCCUUAGGCCUGCUGUACACCUAAAACUUAGGUCAACCUAGUUACAUUACAUCACCCGGGGCUGUGAAAAAAUUCAAGACCCAGGCAACAUAUUUAGGUUGACUUAAUCCCCUCUCUAGAUGUAGCUAGAUUAACAGAAGAAUUUUUCUGUUGACCUAACUACCGUCUCUCUAAGGUGUGGAUUUACUAUAGCAACAGAAAAGCCCCUUCUGUCACUGCAGUGUCUACCCUGCAACAGUGCUACUGUAGCACUUGUGUAGACAUUCCCUUUUAAACAAAAUACCUGAGGGCCACAAAAGAGGCUAAUCCAGGGAUUUGGGUACUAGCUUGAGAUUCAGGCAACUCGGCUUCAAUUCCCUGCUCUAUCUGCAGGCUUCCUGUGUGAUCCAAGGUAAGUCACUUUGUCUCUCUGUGCCUGAGUUCCACAUACGUAAAAUGGGGAUAAUAGUACUUUUCCCUACCUCACAUGGGUGAAGAUUAAGAACUGCUCAGACACAAUGGUGGCCGUAUAAAAUACCUUGAUAGAUAGCUUCAAAGCUCUCUUAACCUGGUCCUAGACUAUUUUGAAUGUAUAAUUCUUUGCAGACUUGUGACGCAAAGAACUCCUCAGUGACAACUGGCAAGAGCAUUACAAGGAUAUCCUGAUUCUAGUAUGUACAUUUUGUUUCACCAACGAAUGUGAUGUGAUGUUUUAUUUGAAAGCCAAGGCCACUGGUCAUUCUUAUUGUUCUGAAAUGUAUGUACAGAUUACAAAAGUAGUUAUGUAUGUAUACUGUAAAUAUGAUUCUGUAUCACAGCAGAAGAAACAAGUUUCCUGUCAGACAGGGGAUACUUAUUCACCUGUAUCUCUGUUGGAUAUGAGGAGGAGACAAGGAAGACACGCCCUUAUCCAGCACUUACAAAGUAGAUGGGCAGCAUGUUGACAUUCAUGAAAAUAAGAUCUGAACCAGCCUUGGUUGCAAAUAUUGCAGAAGAUAUUUGGGUCCGGUGGGGUUUCCAGGAAUACCCCACAGAAGUACUUUUUCUUAAGCUUACCUGUUGCAAGGAUGAAGGCCUAAAUUCUUCUGAGUUACACCAGUACAGACCCAGAGCAACUUCUGUGAUAUCAGUGGUGCUACAACUUCAGAUUUUCAAUGGAAUAACAGAACAGAAUUUGGAUCAUAAACUAUUCCUGCUAAAGCAAUCUUCUAGUGGGUGACAUCUGGACCUGACAGACAGCCUAAGUUAUCUAAUGCAGAAUUUUCUUUUUUCCAGCAUUUUACUCUAAAGCUUAAGAACUAUAUAUUCAGGUGUCAUUCCACAAAUGUACUUUUUUCCUUUCAAACUCACACAAUUACUAUUCCAUCUUGCAAACACACAUAUGCUUAACUUUAAGCAUGUGAGUAGUUCUGCUGUCUUAAAGUUAAGCACGCGUGUAAACAUUUGCAGGAUCAGGGCCUUAGACAUUUCUCAAAAGAUUAUGGUUCAAUUAACUUCAAUGGGAGUAUGUUCAUAUGAGUAAGGGUUGGUUGCAGGAUGAGGCCUCAGGUUACAAUAUUUUUAAAAGUUGGACAUGAACAUCUGAUAGCAGAAAGUGGCUCAGAAUCAAUAAAAUAUUUUAAUUUGUUUUACAAUUAUUCGUUUAAGGAUAUUAUGGUCUUGGUAUCAUGCUUUAUAUAACACCCCAACACAUUUUUUGAUUUUGAUGUCAUGCAAGAAAGUAUUGAUAAAAUGAAACAUUAAAUGACAAAUAGUUUGUUCCCACAACCAACUUUUUGGACAGCAUCUGGGCAACUUGGCCUAUAUGGGGGGGAGGGGACCCCAAGAGAUUUGGGAAGCAAACCAAGCAUUACAUUUUUCUAAGAUUCCUUAAGUAUAUUAACCACAGUGCAACUUUAUUCAAAACUUACAAGGGCCUGCAGCUAUACCACUUUGGGAUUUACUCUUAUCAGACUGAAUGAGCCAGCUCCCCAGCACAGUGUUUAAGGAGGCCCUGUGCUGCUUGCAGUGCUGGUUUUUUGGGACGGGAUAUAAAACAGAAGCCCUCACCACUUUUUGCAAGCAAAGGGAUGUUUGCCCAAGUGUUCUAAGUUCCCAUACACACUACAAAAACAACCAUGUUUGUGACCCAAACAUUUAACAACCAGAUUAAGAAAGCCACAUGUUUUUAGCCCUUUCUUGGAGUCUCAUGGAGGCUUACCACCACCUCAGAAAUGUAGCCCCUUACAGAUAUAUUGGCAACAGUAUGUUUUUUUGACACAGAAAAUUCAAUUAGUAGUUUAAAAUAAUUUGCUAGGUGACAAUAGUAAUGAUGGUGCACUGCGUACUCAUUAAAAGUAUCAUUAAUUAAGUAAAACCAGAUUGAAUCAUUACCAUACCAAAAAACCCAAACUCCGGCUAGGAGCAAAAUUUAAAACAUAAUAUAGUAAGGACUUUAUUAUACAAUUGCCAAUGUUCCUACUAAUGUUCAAAUAUAAUACUCUUCUCAAAAGAGCUUGUAUUAUUUUGUUUAACUGAUGUUAAGGAAAUGUAUGUUCACUUGACAACCUGAAUGAAAAAUCAAAACAAAAAUACAGAUAAUAUAUAUUUUUAAAUUGAUGACAUAUGCUUCAGAAAAUACAGCUGGGUAUAAAUACAUUAAUAGUACAAAAUAAACCCCAUAUUUUAAAGAUGAGUGCACCAUUCUGUAAAUGACUCUAGAUUAGCAAAGAUUAACUUUAAGUCCCACCUGCCCUCUAGACUCCUUUCCAUUAUUCUCUGUUUGCCUGCUGCCACUUUAGACCCCACAAACACAAAGACAACCGUUCACAGCUCAGUGCUUUUGGGUCUGUGCCAAAUAGUGUGUCAACCAAAAAUACUAGCCGUUUCACUCUGUUUUGAAGCAUAUAGCUUGCAAUUACUUUUCUAGCUGGCAGGAGUUGCAAGUCCAGCACUAAUUUUACACUGUAAAUAACUCCCUUACUGGAUUACUUCAACUUUCUAAUACAACUCUUUUUUUGUUCUGCAAACUAACAGUAAAUAAUUCAUAAUAUCAGAAGUUAUGUUAUUAAGCUAGCUUUUAACUGUUUCAUUAGAAACUGUGAUAAUCAGGGUCUAGACACCCCAAGGGAGGACAGAAGGUUUAAUCCCCCCAGAAAUAAGCAGUUAAAGCAACUGAUCGCAUACUGUGUUAUUUAACUCUAAGAAUAUAUUAAGUAAAAUCUUUUAUGAAUGUCUGUAAAUGCAAUGAACUUACUAGUCAUUAUGAGAUAUGUAUACAGGUUAUGGUUGUGAAGGUGUGUGCGCAUAUAUAGAAAAUUGUAACUGUAAAGCCUGAGGUUAUGUUUAUUUUCUUUGUAAUUUAUAUAUGUUUGCUCUCCCCCUACUAUUUCAUCUUUGAAUCUGUGGUUUUUCUAUUAAAUAAACUUUUUAUUUUUAUCCCAA